RNAcentral lists this ribosomal RNA (408 nucleotides) under uncultured bacterium. Its description in RNAcentral is "partial 16S ribosomal RNA". It matches the Rfam family "Bacterial small subunit ribosomal RNA", at positions 28 to 526 of the family's 1533-position model. The record is from RNAcentral.
GACGAACGCUGGCGGCGUGCUUAACACAUGCAAGUCGAACGAAGUGGCGAACGGGUGAGUAACGCGUAAUCAACCUGCCCUUCAGUGGGGCACAACAGUUGGAAACGUCUGCUAAUACCGCAUACUGAAGGAGGGGAUUGUGUCUGACUAGCUAGUGGGAGGGGUAACGGCCCACCAAGGCGAUGAUCAGGAGCCGGUCUGAGAGGAUGAACGGCCACAUUGGGACUGAGACACGGCCCAGACUCCUACGGGAGGCAGCAGUGGGGAAUCUUCCGCAAUGGACGAAAGUCUGACGGAGCAACGCCGCGUGAGUGAAGAAGGUUUUCGGAUCGUAAAGCUCUGUUGUAAGGGAAUCGGUAUCUUACCAGAAAGGGACGGCUAACUACGUGCCAGCAGCCGCGGUAAUAC